AAAAUACUCCCUCCGUCCCAAAGUUCUUGUCUUACAUUUGUCUAAAUACGGAUGUAUCUGUAUCUAGACAAAUCUAAGACAAGAAUUUUGGGACGGAGGGAGUAUUCU
Non-coding RNA from Triticum aestivum (bread wheat), 108 nucleotides. The record is from Rfam. NCBI's taxonomy places the organism in Eukaryota, Viridiplantae, Streptophyta, Magnoliopsida, Poales, Poaceae.